UUUCCGUAGGUGAACCUGCGGAAGGAUCAUUACAGAGUUCCUGCCCUCACGGGUAGAAACCCCACCCUUGUGUAUUAUAUAUUGUUGCUUUGGCGGGCCGCCCUCACCGGCGCCGGCUCGCGCUGGCUCGCGCCCGCCAAAGGACCCCAAACUCUGAAGUAUAGUGUCGUCUGAGUACUAUUUAAUAGUUAAAACUUUCAACAACGGAUCUCUUGGUUCUGGCAUCGAUGAAGAACGCAGC
This 241-nucleotide unclassified non-coding RNA is filed under the name uncultured fungus. RNAcentral's name for it is "sequence contains ITS1, 5.8S rRNA gene". The stretch from base 193 to 241 matches the Rfam family "5.8S ribosomal RNA", at positions 1 to 49 of the family's 154-position model. The record is from RNAcentral. Lineage: Eukaryota; Fungi.